This 252-nucleotide ribosomal RNA is filed under the name uncultured bacterium. Its description in RNAcentral is "partial 16S ribosomal RNA". It matches the Rfam family "Bacterial small subunit ribosomal RNA", at positions 524 to 776 of the family's 1533-position model. The record is from RNAcentral.
UACGUAGGGGGCUAGCGUUAUCCGGAUUUACUGGGCGUAAAGGGUGCGUAGGUGGUUUUUUAAGUCAGGAGUGAAAGGCUACGGCUCAACCGUAGUAAGCUCUUGAAACUGAGAAACUUGAGUGCAGGAGAGGAAAGUGGAAUUCCUAGUGUAGCGGUGAAAUGCGUAGAUAUUAGGAGGAACACCAGUAGCGAAGGCGGCUUUCUGGACUGUAACUGACACUGAGGCACGAAAGCGUGGGGAGCAAACAGG